This 452-nucleotide ribosomal RNA is filed under the name uncultured organism. RNAcentral describes it as "partial 16S ribosomal RNA". It matches the Rfam family "Bacterial small subunit ribosomal RNA", at positions 331 to 799 of the family's 1533-position model. The record is from RNAcentral.
GUACACUCCUACGGGAGGCAGCAGUGGGGAAUAUUGGACAAUGGGCGCAAGCCUGAUCCAGCCAUGCCGCGUGAGUGAUGAAGGCCCUAGGGUUGUAAAGCUCUUUCACCGGUGAAGAUAAUGACGGUAACCGGAGAAGAAGCCCCGGCUAACUUCGUGCCAGCAGCCGCGGUAAUACGAAGGGGGCUAGCGUUGUUCGGAUUUACUGGGCGUAAAGCGCACGUAGGCGGACUAUUAAGUCAGGGGUGAAAUCCCGGGGCUCAACCCCGGAACUGCCUUUGAUACUGGUAGUCUUGAGUUCGAGAGAGGUGAGUGGAAUUCCGAGUGUAGAGGUGAAACUCGUAGAUAUUCGGAGGAACACCAGUGGCGAAGGCGGCUCACUGGCUCGAUACUGACGCUGAGGUGCGAAAGCGUGGGGAGCAAACAGGAUGAGAUACCCUGGUAGUCCCAUG